AGUGAACGCUGGCGGUAGGCCUAACACAUGCAAGUCGAACGGCAGCACAGUAAGAGCUUGCUCUUACGGGUGGCGAGUGGCGGACGGGUGAGGAAUACAUCGGAAUCUACUUUUUCGUGGGGGAUAACGUAGGGAAACUUACGCUAAUACCGCAUACGACCUACGGGUGAAAGCAGGGGAUCUUCGGACCUUGCGCGAUUGAAUGAGCCGAUGUCGGAUUAGCUAGUUGGCGGGGUAAAGGCCCACCAAGGCGACGAUCCGUAGCUGGUCUGAGAGGAUGAUCAGACACACUGGAACUGAGACACGGUCCAGACUCCUACGGGAGGCAGCAGUGGGGAAUAUUGGACAAUGGGCGCAAGCCUGAUCCAGACAUACCGCGUGGGUGAAGAAGGCCUUCGGGUUGUAAAGCACUUUUGUUGGGAAAGAAAAGCAGCAGGUUAAUACCCCGCUGUUCUGACGGUACCCAAAGAAUAAGCACCGGCUAACUUCGUG
This 492-nucleotide ribosomal RNA is filed under the name uncultured bacterium. RNAcentral describes it as "partial 16S ribosomal RNA". It matches the Rfam family "Bacterial small subunit ribosomal RNA", at positions 29 to 507 of the family's 1533-position model. The record is from RNAcentral.